CCUACGGGUGGCAGCAGUGAGGAAUAUUGGUCAAUGGACGGAAGUCUGAACCAGCCAUGCCGCGUGCAGGAAGACGGCUCUAUGAGUUUUAAACUGCUUUUGUACAAGGGUAAACCUGAAUACGUGUAUUCAGCUGAAAUUACUGUACGAAUAAGGAUCGGCUAACUCCGUGCCAUCAGCCGCGGUAAUACGGUGGAUCCAAGCGUUAUCCGGAUUUAUUUGGUUUAAAGGGUGCGUAGGCGGAUUGGUAAGUUAGAUGUGAAAUGUCCGAGCUUAACUCGGGAACUGCCUCUAAUACUGGUGAUCUAGAGAGUAGAUGCGGUAGGCGGAAUGUAUGGUGUAGCGGUGAAAUGCUUAGAGAUCAUACAGAACACCGAUUGCGAAGGCAGCUUACCAAUCUAUAUCUGACGUUGAGGCACGAAAGCGUGGGGAGCAAACAGGAUUAGAUACCCCAGUAGUC
This 460-nucleotide ribosomal RNA is filed under the name uncultured bacterium. RNAcentral's name for it is "partial 16S ribosomal RNA". It matches the Rfam family "Bacterial small subunit ribosomal RNA", at positions 338 to 795 of the family's 1533-position model. The record is from RNAcentral.